AUUGAACGCUGGCGGCAUGCCUUACACAUGCAAGUCGAACGGCAGCACGGGUGCUUGCAGCUGGUGGCGAGUGGCGAACGGGUGAGUAAUACAUCGGAACAUGUCCUGUAGUGGGGGAUAGCCCGGCGAAAGCCGGAUUAAUACCGCAUACGAUCUACGGAUGAAAGCGGGGGACCUUCGGGCCUCGCGCUAUGGGGUUGGCCGAUGGCUGAUUAGCUAGUUGGUGGGGUAAAGGCCUACCAAGGCGACGAUCAGUAGCUGGUCUGAGAGGACGAGCAGCCACACUGGGACUGAGACACGGCCCAGACUCCUACGGGAGGCAGCAGUGGGGAAUUUUGGACAAUGGGCGAAAGCCUGAUCCAGCAAUGCCGCGUGUGUGAAGAAGGCCUUCGGGUUGUAAAGCACUUUUGUCCGGAAAGAAAUCCUUGGCCCUAAUACGGUCGGGGGAUGACGGUACCGGAAGAAUAAGCACCGGCUAACUACGUG
This 486-nucleotide ribosomal RNA is filed under the name uncultured bacterium. Its description in RNAcentral is "partial 16S ribosomal RNA". It matches the Rfam family "Bacterial small subunit ribosomal RNA", at positions 30 to 507 of the family's 1533-position model. The record is from RNAcentral.